RNAcentral lists this non-coding RNA (839 nucleotides) under Alteromonas confluentis. Its description in RNAcentral is "Bacterial small subunit ribosomal RNA". It matches the Rfam family "Bacterial small subunit ribosomal RNA", at positions 1 to 837 of the family's 1533-position model. Lineage: Bacteria; Pseudomonadati; Pseudomonadota; Gammaproteobacteria; Alteromonadales; Alteromonadaceae. The record is from Rfam by way of RNAcentral.
UAAUUGAAGAGUUUGAUCAUGGCUCAGAUUGAACGCUGGCGGCAGGCCUAACACAUGCAAGUCGAACGGUAGCAGGAUGUGCUUGCACAUCGCUGACGAGUGGCGGACGGGUGAGUAAUGCUUGGGAACUUGCCUUUGCGAGGGGGAUAACAGUUGGAAACGACUGCUAAUACCGCAUAAUGUUUUCGAACCAAACGGGGCUUAGGCUCCGGCGCAAAGAGAGGCCCAAGUGAGAUUAGCUAGUUGGUGAGGUAAAGGCUCACCAAGGCGACGAUCUCUAGCUGUUCUGAGAGGAAGAUCAGCCACACUGGGACUGAGACACGGCCCAGACUCCUACGGGAGGCAGCAGUGGGGAAUAUUGCACAAUGGGGGAAACCCUGAUGCAGCCAUGCCGCGUGUGUGAAGAAGGCCUUCGGGUUGUAAAGCACUUUCAGUUGUGAGGAAAGGUUGGUAGUUAAUACCUGCCAGCUGUGACGUUAACAACAGAAGAAGCACCGGCUAACUCCGUGCCAGCAGCCGCGGUAAUACGGAGGGUGCGAGCGUUAAUCGGAAUUACUGGGCGUAAAGCGCACGCAGGCGGUUUGUUAAGCUAGAUGUGAAAGCCCCGGGCUCAACCUGGGAUGGUCAUUUAGAACUGGCAGACUAGAGUCUUGGAGAGGGGAGUGGAAUUCCAGGUGUAGCGGUGAAAUGCGUAGAUAUCUGGAGGAACAUCAGUGGCGAAGGCGACUCCCUGGCCAAAGACUGACGCUCAUGUGCGAAAGUGUGGGUAGCGAACAGGAUUAGAUACCCUGGUAGUCCACACCGUAAACGCUGUCUACUAGCUGUGCGUGAAUUUAAUU